GAAACGGCUGCUAAUACCGCAUAAGCGCACGAGGAGACAUCUCCUAGUGUGAAAAACUCCGGUGGUACAGGAUGGGCCCGCGUCUGAUUAGCUGGUUGGCAGGGUAACGGCCUACCAAGGCAACGAUCAGUAGCCGGUCUGAGAGGAUGAACGGCCACAUUGGAACUGAGACACGGUCCAAACUCCUACGGGAGGCAGCAGUGGGGAAUAUUGCACAAUGGGGGAAACCCUGAUGCAGCAACGCCGCGUGAGUGAAGAGGUAUUUCGGUAUGUAAAGCUCUAUCAGCAGGGAAGAUAAUGACGGUACCUGACUAAGAAGCUCCGGCUAAAUACGUGCCAGCAGCCGCGGUAAUACGUAUGGAGCAAGCGUUAUCCGGAUUUACUGGGUGUAAAGGGUGCGUAGGUGGCAGUGCAAGUCAGAUGUGAAAGGCCGGGGCUCAACCCCGGAGCUGCAUUUGAAACUGCUCGGCUAGAGUACAGGAGAGGCAGGCGGAAUUCCUAGUGUAGCGGUGAAAUGCGUAGAUAUUAGGAGGAACACCAGUGGCGAAGGCGGCCUGCUGGACUGUUACUGACACUGAGGCACGAAAGCGUGGGGAGCAAACAGGAUUAGAUACCCUGGUGGUCCACGCCGUAAACGAUGAAUACUAGGUGUCGGGGCCGUAUAGGCUUCGGUG
This 674-nucleotide ribosomal RNA is filed under the name uncultured bacterium. RNAcentral describes it as "bacterial SSU rRNA". It matches the Rfam family "Bacterial small subunit ribosomal RNA", at positions 153 to 845 of the family's 1533-position model. The record is from RNAcentral.